AGGUGUCCACAUGAACUCUGAAGGAGGAAGCCACGAUGUCAGCUGUCUGUUCCCUUUGUCAUCACUGCUAGACACUAUUUGCUGAUUUAUUUGUUCAAUGCUGGUCUCCCACACUAGACCAUGAGCAGGAAGGAGAGGCAGCAUGCAACUGUGCUCGUUGUCUACACAGGGCCUAGCACUGGGCCUGGGCCAGGGCAGGCACCUGGGAGAUUGCUGCAAGAGAGAAGGUCACCUAUCUCCCCAGGUAGCCUCUCUCACCCUGACAAUGUAUCUUCACAGGUAAGGGACAAAGACAAGACUAGAAAUCAUCCCUCUGCCCACCUCAAGACAAAUGCAGAUCUGACUUCUUCUUCCUCUACUCUAUGUUUACUUUAUCUUAUGUAAAAUACAAGAUUUACU
Molecule: long non-coding RNA, 399 nt
Filed under: Homo sapiens (human)
Lineage: Eukaryota; Metazoa; Chordata; Mammalia; Primates; Hominidae
Description: HSALNT0358595
Source: RNAcentral